RNAcentral lists this ribosomal RNA (468 nucleotides) under uncultured bacterium. RNAcentral's name for it is "partial 16S ribosomal RNA". It matches the Rfam family "Bacterial small subunit ribosomal RNA", at positions 28 to 507 of the family's 1533-position model. The record is from RNAcentral.
GACGAACGCUGGCGGCGUGCUUAACACAUGCAAGUCGAACGGAAAGGCCCUGCUUUUGUGGGGUGCUCGAGUGGCGAACGGGUGAGUAACACGUGAGUAACCUGCCCUUGACUUUGGGAUAACUUCAGGAAACUGGGGCUAAUACCGGAUAGGAGCUCCUGCUGCAUGGUGGGGGUUGGAAAGUUUCGGCGGUUGGGGAUGGACUCGCGGCUUAUCAGCUUGUUGGUGGGGUAGUGGCUUACCAAGGCUUUGACGGGUAGCCGGCCUGAGAGGGUGACCGGCCACAUUGGGACUGAGAUACGGCCCAGACUCCUACGGGAGGCAGCAGUGGGGAAUAUUGCACAAUGGGCGGAAGCCUGAUGCAGAAACGCCGCGUGCGGGAUGACGGCCUUCGGGUUGUAAACCGCUUUCGCCUGAGACGAAGCGUGAGUGACGGUAAUGGGUAAAGAAGCACCGGCUAACUACGUG